RNAcentral lists this transfer RNA (73 nucleotides) under Stegodyphus mimosarum. It matches the Rfam family "tRNA". Rfam says of the family: Transfer RNA (tRNA) molecules are approximately 80 nucleotides in length. Their secondary structure includes four short double-helical elements and three loops (D, anti-codon, and T loops). Lineage: Eukaryota; Metazoa; Arthropoda; Arachnida; Araneae; Eresidae. The record is from Rfam by way of RNAcentral.
GCCUUCGUAGUGUAGUGGUCAGCACGCUGGGCGCGUAUUCCAGAUGUCUGUGUUUCGAAUCCUGGUGAGGGCA